UCCCCGACCGCAGCGGUCCCUGAGUAACCGGCUCCAGCACCGCCGCUGCUCCGUCCCCAAGAACCAGCGCCCCACUGGCCCUCUGCCCCCAGGCGUGCUUCCUCCACCCGCUGGCCUGUCCGGUUCCCUUUAACCAGUCACCACAGGGCUGGUGGCUUCGAAGAACAGAAACUCACUUUCUCAGCAGGACCUGGCACCUAUGGGGCCACUACCCGUUGCCUCCGAGGGUCUCCACGUAGCAGAAAGGUUUUCCCAGAGCUCCCACGGCGGCUCAGUGGGUUAAGAACCCGACUAGGAUCAGUCCCUGGCCUCGCUCCGUGGGUGAAGGAUCUGGCGUGGCCGUGAGCUGUGGCGUAGGUCGCAGACGCAGCUCCGGCCCCGUGUUACUGUGGCUGUGGUGCAGGCCGGGAGCUACAGCUCCGAGUCUCCUCUUGACCUAGAAACAUCCAUCUGCCGCAGGUGCGGCCCUAAAGAAAAAAGGAAAGAAAAGCGGUUUUCCCAAGACCCCACUUCAGAAACGCCCUGCACACCCCUGCUUUGGGCCGUGCGGCACGUUCCGCCAGCUCGGGGCCCUUGCCCGUGGGACCUGCUUCCCAGCGGGUCCUCCCCACAGCCUGGGGGCAGAUCUCCCUCACUGCUGCCCACGGCCUGCCCCAUGCCGGCAUCGGCACGGAGGUGCCAGGCCCUCGGCGGUGCGGGGGCCUCACCCAGCCGCCGGCUCCCUGAGAAGUUCGCGUUUUAUGGCCGGAGACCUGUGGGGUAGCGACCGCCUUUAUUUCCCGGUUACAGCUGAGAACACCGGGGCUCAAAGUGACUUGUCCUGGGUGCCACUCGGUUAACGGACGGAGGGGGGAGCCCAGGUUGGUUGCUGGACUCUGGGGUGGGACCCUCCCCCCAGGGAGGAUGGGGGGUCACACUGGCCCGGCUGCUGUCACCUUUCUGGUUCUCUCCAGGUCUAGGCUCUGCACCCCCCCGCGCUCGUGUCCCAGUGACUCCCGUGGAGGCCUGAGUGGGGAGGCCUGGCAUCCAGCCAAAGCGGGGCAGAGGGGCUGGGGAGGCUCUGCCCGGGGCCCUGCUCACCCUGUUCUCCUGUCUGUCUUCCCAGCUGGUUCAUGGGACGGCGGCCUGAGUACACAGACCCCAGGGUGGUGGCUCAGGGGGAAGGCCGGGAAGUGACCCGCGUCCGCUCCCAGGGCUUUGUCACGCUCCUCUUCAACGUGGUGACCAAGGACAUGAGGAAGCUGGGCUACGACACCGGGCCUCCGGACACACGCAGCGUCUUGGGGCCCAGGCCGCCCCAGGGC
RNAcentral lists this long non-coding RNA (1304 nucleotides) under Sus scrofa (pig). RNAcentral describes it as "lncRNA (ENSSSCG00005006472.1)". The record is from RNAcentral. Lineage: Eukaryota; Metazoa; Chordata; Mammalia; Artiodactyla; Suidae.